This 377-nucleotide ribosomal RNA is filed under the name uncultured eukaryote. RNAcentral's name for it is "partial 18S ribosomal RNA". It matches the Rfam family "Eukaryotic small subunit ribosomal RNA", at positions 592 to 976 of the family's 1831-position model. The record is from RNAcentral.
CAAUAGCGUAUAUUUAAGUUGCUGCAGUUAAAAAGCUCGUAGUUGGAUUUCGGGUGGGAAUGGCCGGUCCGCCGUUUCGGUGUGCACUUGCUACGCCCACCUUGCUGCCGGGGACGUGCUCUUGAGUUCACGCUCGGGACACGGAGUCGGCGAGGUUACUUUGAGUAAAUUAGAGUGUUCAAAGCAGGCCUACGCUCUGAAUACAUUAGCAUGGAAUAACACGAUAGGACUCUGGCCUAUCUUGUUGGUCUGUAGGACCGGAGUAAUGAUUAAGAGGGACAGUCGGGGGCAUUCGUAUUUCAUUGUCAGAGGUGAAAUUCUUGGAUUUAUGAAAAACGAACUACUGCGAAAGCAUUUGCCAAGGAUGUUUUCAUUAA